RNAcentral lists this ribosomal RNA (265 nucleotides) under uncultured bacterium. RNAcentral's name for it is "partial 16S ribosomal RNA". It matches the Rfam family "Bacterial small subunit ribosomal RNA", at positions 524 to 787 of the family's 1533-position model. The record is from RNAcentral.
UACGUAGGGUGCGAGCGUUAAUCGGAAUUACUGGGCGUAAAGCGUGCGCAGGCGGUGAUGUAAGACCGAUGUGAAAUCCCCGGGCUCAACCUGGGAAUUGCGUUGGAGACUGCAAGGCUAGAAUCUGGCAGAGGGGGGUAGAAUUCCACGUGUAGCAGUGAAAUGCGUAGAGAUGUGGAGGAACACCGAUGGCGAAGGCAGCCCCCUGGGUCAAGAUUGACGCUCAUGCACGAAAGCGUGGGGAGCAAACAGGAUUAGAGUACCC